This 467-nucleotide ribosomal RNA is filed under the name uncultured bacterium. RNAcentral's name for it is "bacterial SSU rRNA". It matches the Rfam family "Bacterial small subunit ribosomal RNA", at positions 330 to 794 of the family's 1533-position model. The record is from RNAcentral.
GCCAGACUCCUACGGGAGGCAGCAGUGAGGAAUAUUGGUCAAUGGGCGGGAGCCUGAACCAGCCAAGUCGCGUGAGGGAAGACGGUCCUAUGGAUUGUAAACCUCUUUAGGCGGGGAGCAAUGCCGGGCACGCGUGUCCGGAGGGAGAGUACCCGCAGAAUAAGCAUCGGCUAACUCCGUGCCAGCAGCCGCGGUAAUACGGAGGAUGCGAGCGUUAUCCGGAUUUAUUGGGUUUAAAGGGUGCGUAGGCGGAAUGCCAAGUCAGGGGUAAAAUCGCGGGGCUCAACCUCGCUCCGCCGUUGAAACUGGCGUUCUUGAGUGGGCGAGAAGUAUGCGGAAUGCGUGGUGUAGCGGUGAAAUGCAUAGAUAUCACGCAGAACUCCGAUUGCGAAGGCAGCAUACCGGCGCCCAACUGACGCUGAAGCACGAAAGCGUGGGUAUCGAACAGGAUUAGAUACCCUGGUACU